This 72-nucleotide transfer RNA is filed under the name archaeon. RNAcentral's name for it is "tRNA-Thr". It matches the Rfam family "tRNA". From Rfam's summary of the family: Transfer RNA (tRNA) molecules are approximately 80 nucleotides in length. Their secondary structure includes four short double-helical elements and three loops (D, anti-codon, and T loops). The record is from RNAcentral.
GCCCUUGUAGCUCAGUGGUAGAGCAACGGUUUUGUAAACCGUUGGUCGCUGGUUCAAAUCCAGUCGGGGGCU